AUUGAACGCUGGCGGCAUGCCUUACACAUGCAAGUCGAACGGUAACAGGUCUUCGGAUGCUGACGAGUGGCGAACGGGUGAGUAAUACAUCGGAACGUGCCUAGUAGUGGGGGAUAACUACUCGAAAGAGUGGCUAAUACCGCAUGAGAUCUACGGAUGAAAGCAGGGGAUCGCAAGACCUUGUGCUACUAGAGCGGCCGAUGGCAGAUUAGGUAGUUGGUGGGAUAAAAGCUUACCAAGCCGACGGUCUGUAGCUGGUCUGAGAGGACGAUCAGCCACACUGGGACUUGGAAACGGCCCAGACUCCUACGGGAGGCAGCAGUGGGGAAUUUUGGACAAUGGGCGCAAGCCUGAUCCAGCAAUGCCGCGUGCAGGAUGAAGGCCUUCGGGUUGUAAACUGCUUUUGUACGGAACGAAAAGCCCCGGGUUAAUACCCUGGGGUCAUGACGGUACCGUAAGAAUAAGCACCGGCUAACUACGUGCCAGCCGCCGCCGUAA
RNAcentral lists this ribosomal RNA (498 nucleotides) under uncultured bacterium. RNAcentral describes it as "partial 16S ribosomal RNA". It matches the Rfam family "Bacterial small subunit ribosomal RNA", at positions 30 to 523 of the family's 1533-position model. The record is from RNAcentral.